Molecule: ribosomal RNA, 253 nt
Filed under: uncultured bacterium
Lineage: Bacteria
Description: partial 16S ribosomal RNA
Rfam family: Bacterial small subunit ribosomal RNA
Source: RNAcentral
UACGAAGGGUGCAAGCGUUGUUCGGAUUUAUUGGGCGUAAAGCGCGCGCAGGCGGAUUAAUAAGUCAGGUGUGAAAUCUCGGGGCCUAACCCCGAAACUGCGCCUGAAACUAUUAGUCUAGAAUGUCAUAGGGGGUUGGGGAAUUUCACGUGUAGGGGUAAAAUCCGUAGAGAUGUGAAGGAACACCUGAGGCGAAGGCGCCAACCUGGAUGACUAUUGACGCUGAGGUGCGAAAGCGUGGGGAGCAAACAGG